This 1251-nucleotide ribosomal RNA is filed under the name uncultured Bacillus sp. RNAcentral describes it as "bacterial SSU rRNA". It matches the Rfam family "Bacterial small subunit ribosomal RNA", at positions 8 to 1242 of the family's 1533-position model. The record is from RNAcentral. Lineage: Bacteria; Bacillati; Bacillota; Bacilli; Caryophanales; Bacillaceae.
AGAGUUUGAUCAUGGCUCAGGACGAACGCUGGCGGCGUGCCUAAUACAUGCAAGUCGAGCGGACAGAUGGGAGCUUGCUCCCUGAUGUUAGCGGCGGACGGGUGAGUAACACGUGGGUAACCUGCCUGUAAGACUGGGAUAACUCCGGGAAACCGGGGCUAAUACCGGAUGCUUGUUUGAACCGCAUGGUUCAAACAUAAAAGGUGGCUUCGGCUACCACUUACAGAUGGACCCGCGGCGCAUUAGCUAGUUGGUGAGGUAACGGCUCACCAAGGCAACGAUGCGUAGCCGACCUGAGAGGGUGAUCGGCCACACUGGGACUGAGACACGGCCCAGACUCCUACGGGAGGCAGCAGUAGGGAAUCUUCCGCAAUGGACGAAAGUCUGACGGAGCAACGCCGCGUGAGUGAUGAAGGUUUUCGGAUCGUAAAGCUCUGUUGUUAGGGAAGAACAAGUACCGUUCGAAUAGGGCGGUACCUUGACGGUACCUAACCAGAAAGCCACGGCUAACUACGUGCCAGCAGCCGCGGUAAUACGUAGGUGGCAAGCGUUGUCCGGAAUUAUUGGGCGUAAAGGGCUCGCAGGCGGUUUCUUAAGUCUGAUGUGAAAGCCCCCGGCUCAACCGGGGAGGGUCAUUGGAAACUGGGGAACUUGAGUGCAGAAGAGGAGAGUGGAAUUCCACGUGUAGCGGUGAAAUGCGUAGAGAUGUGGAGGAACACCAGUGGCGAAGGCGACUCUCUGGUCUGUAACUGACGCUGAGGAGCGAAAGCGUGGGGAGCGAACAGGAUUAGAUACCCUGGUAGUCCACGCCGUAAACGAUGAGUGCUAAGUGUUAGGGGGUUUCCGCCCCUUAGUGCUGCAGCUAACGCAUUAAGCACUCCGCCUGGGGAGUACGGUCGCAAGACUGAAACUCAAAGGAAUUGACGGGGGCCCGCACAAGCGGUGGAGCAUGUGGUUUAAUUCGAAGCAACGCGAAGAACCUUACCAGGUCUUGACAUCCUCUGACAAUCCUAGAGAUAGGACGUCCCCUUCGGGGGCAGAGUGACAGGUGGUGCAUGGUUGUCGUCAGCUCGUGUCGUGAGAUGUUGGGUUAAGUCCCGCAACGAGCGCAACCCUUGAUCUUAGUUGCCAGCAUUCAGUUGGGCACUCUAAGGUGACUGCCGGUGACAAACCGGAGGAAGGUGGGGAUGACGUCAAAUCAUCAUGCCCCUUAUGACCUGGGCUACACACGUGCUACAAUGGACAGAACAA